Molecule: long non-coding RNA, 309 nt
Filed under: Malus domestica (apple)
Lineage: Eukaryota; Viridiplantae; Streptophyta; Magnoliopsida; Rosales; Rosaceae
Description: long non-coding RNA (MDOM_LNC012268)
Source: RNAcentral
UAUGGGUCAACCUCGAAGCUAAGAACUUUAGCCUCUCGUAUAUGCUGGAAUUUAGCUUUCAUCGCUUGAUCAGUGGUCUUUUGGAUGAUUUGUUCAGCAUCGGGGCAAGUUAGUGCCAAGUCAAGAGCUUCUUAGCACGCCUUGGGUAAACCAUACAAAUCGUUGGUAGAAUAUUUCUUGUGAAACUCUUUCAUGUAUUCUAAAGAUUCGCCGAGGAAUGGGGGGUGCAGAUUCUGCCGAACUUUGAUUAACAGCUCUUUCAAAGGUAACAGAGAUAAUUGGCUUUCGGCCUCUUUCUUAUAUUGCUCG